This 75-nucleotide transfer RNA is filed under the name Methylacidimicrobium sp. AP8. RNAcentral describes it as "tRNA-His". It matches the Rfam family "tRNA". Rfam says of the family: Transfer RNA (tRNA) molecules are approximately 80 nucleotides in length. Their secondary structure includes four short double-helical elements and three loops (D, anti-codon, and T loops). Further hydrogen bonds mediate the characteristic L-shaped molecular structure. tRNAs have two regions of fundamental functional importance: the anti-codon, which is responsible for specific mRNA codon recognition, and the 3' end, to which the tRNAs corresponding amino acid is attached (by aminoacyl-tRNA synthetases). tRNAs cope with the degeneracy of the genetic code in two manners: having more than one tRNA (with a specific anti-codon) for a particular amino acid; and 'wobble' base-pairing, i.e. permitting non-standard base-pairing at the 3rd anti-codon position. Lineage: Bacteria; Pseudomonadati; Verrucomicrobiota. The record is from RNAcentral.
GCGGCCGUAGCUCAAUGGUAGAGCUCCAGAUUGUGGUUCUGGCUGUUGCGGGUUCGAGUCCCGUCGGCCGCCCCG